AUUCUCAGCCAUGCUACCCUGAACAAGCCUGAUCCCGUCUGAUCUCGGCAGCUAAGCAGGGUCGGGCCUGGUUAGUACUUGGAUUGGGAGGCCACCUAGGAAGACCAGGUGCUGUAGGCG
RNAcentral lists this ribosomal RNA (120 nucleotides) under Pteropus alecto (black flying fox). The record is from RNAcentral. Lineage: Eukaryota; Metazoa; Chordata; Mammalia; Chiroptera; Pteropodidae.